GAUGAACGCUAGCUACAGGCUUAACACAUGCAAGUCGAGGGGAAACGAUAUUGGAAGCUUGCUUCCGAUAGGCGUCGACCGGCGCACGGGUGAGUAACGCGUAUCCAACCUGCCCAUCACUUGGGGAUAACCUUGCGAAAGUAAGACUAAUACCCAAUGACGUCUCUAGAAGACAUCUGAAAGAGAUUAAAGAUUUAUCGGUGUACGAUGGGGAUGCGUUCCAUUAGGUAGUAGGCGGGGUAACGGCCCACCUAGCCAACGAUGGAUAGGGGUUCUGAGAGGAAGGUCCCCCACAUUGGAACUGAGACACGGUCCAAACUCCUACGGGAGGCAGCAGUGAGGAAUAUUGGUCAAUGGACGAGAGUCUGAACCAGCCAAGUAGCGUGAAGGAUGAAGGUCCUACGGAUUGUAAACUUCUUUUAUAAGGGAAUAAACCCUCCCACGUGUGGGAGCUUGUAUGUACCUUAUGAAUAAGCAUCGGCUAACUCCGUG
This 492-nucleotide ribosomal RNA is filed under the name uncultured bacterium. RNAcentral describes it as "bacterial SSU rRNA". It matches the Rfam family "Bacterial small subunit ribosomal RNA", at positions 28 to 507 of the family's 1533-position model. The record is from RNAcentral.